Molecule: ribosomal RNA, 497 nt
Filed under: uncultured bacterium
Lineage: Bacteria
Description: partial 16S ribosomal RNA
Rfam family: Bacterial small subunit ribosomal RNA
Source: RNAcentral
GAUGAACGCUGGCGGCGUGCCUAAUACAUGCAAGUCGAGCGAACAGACGAGGAGCUUGCUCCUUUGACGUUAGCGGCGGACGGGUGAGUAACACGUAGGUAACCUACCUAUAAGACUGGGAUAACUUCGGGAAACCGGAGCUAAUACCGGAUAAUAUUUCGAACCGCAUGGUUCGAUAGUGAAAGAUGGCUUUGCUAUCACUUAUAGAUGGACCUGCGCCGUAUUAGCUAGUUGGUAAGGUAACGGCUUACCAAGGCAACGAUACGUAGCCGACCUGAGAGGGUGAUCGGCCACACUGGAACUGAGACACGGUCCAGACUACUACGGGAGGCAGCAGUAGGGAAUCUUCCGCAAUGGGCGAAAGCCUGACGGAGCAACGCCGCGUGAGUGAUGAAGGUCUUCGGAUCGUAAAACUCUGUUAUUAGGGAAGAACAAACGUGUAAGUAACUGUGCACGUCUUGACGGUACCUAAUCAGAAAGCCACGGCUAACUACGUG